Molecule: ribosomal RNA, 253 nt
Filed under: uncultured bacterium
Lineage: Bacteria
Description: partial 16S ribosomal RNA
Rfam family: Bacterial small subunit ribosomal RNA
Source: RNAcentral
UACAGAGACUCCAAGCGUUAUUCGGAUUUACUGGGCGUAAAGGGAGCGCAGGCGGCCAAGUGUGUCAGAGGUGAAAUCCUGCAGCUUAACUGUAGAAUGGCCUUUGAAACUACUUGGCUAGAGUAUCGGAGAGGUAAGCGGAAUUCCAGGUGUAGCAGUGAAAUGCGUAGAUAUCUGGAGGAACACCGAUAGCGAAGGCAGUCUACUACGAAUGUACUGACGCUGAUGGACGAAAGCGUGGGGAGCGAACAGG